RNAcentral lists this unclassified non-coding RNA (257 nucleotides) under fungal sp. Its description in RNAcentral is "partial internal transcribed spacer region". The stretch from base 1 to 46 matches the Rfam family "Eukaryotic small subunit ribosomal RNA", at positions 1786 to 1831 of the family's 1831-position model. The record is from RNAcentral. Lineage: Eukaryota; Fungi.
AAGUCGUAACAAGGUUUCCGUAGGUGAACCUGCGGAAGGAUCAUUAAAAGGUUUAUCUGGGGGUGGGUAAAACCCUCCUGGAAAACUCCACCCUUGUAUAUUAUUACUUGUUGCUUUGGUAGGCCGCGAGAUUGCCUAGCGAUUGAGCACCGGCUUCGGCUGGAGAGCGCCUGCCAGAGGACCAAACUCUGUUAUUUUAUGUCGUCUGAUUACUAUUUAAUAAGUCAAAACUUUCAACAACGGAUCUCUUGGUUCUG